RNAcentral lists this long non-coding RNA (300 nucleotides) under Carica papaya (papaya). RNAcentral describes it as "long non-coding RNA (CPAP_LNC006538)". The record is from RNAcentral. Lineage: Eukaryota; Viridiplantae; Streptophyta; Magnoliopsida; Brassicales; Caricaceae.
AGCGAAUGGGUAUAAAUAACCCAAUCCACACCCAAACCCUAACCCUAGCCGCUAGAGCCCAUCGCCGGAGAAGACAGCCCAAUCGCUGGGUAGCCGACAACCGCCACCAGUCGCUGCACCGAAGCAAUUUUUGACCGCCAAACGAGGUAAAAUUUUUUCUUCUUGCACGAAAUUCAAUUUCAAACCCACCCAUGACCAAAAUUGGAGUGAAAGAAUCAGUCAAUUAGCCAAAAAAUACCACCGAAGCUCGUCGGCGCCACCAGAGGGUGUUUCAGAAAACGUCUCCAAUGAGGCUCUUCU